This 227-nucleotide ribosomal RNA is filed under the name Limnoperna mangle. Its description in RNAcentral is "partial large subunit ribosomal RNA". It matches the Rfam family "Eukaryotic large subunit ribosomal RNA", at positions 95 to 314 of the family's 3401-position model. The record is from RNAcentral. Lineage: Eukaryota; Metazoa; Mollusca; Bivalvia; Mytilida; Modiolidae.
GAAGUGGGAAUAGCCCAGCACCGAAUCCCGCAGUCUCGUGCUGCAGGGACCUGUGGUGUUUAGGACGCCUAUUGCCGCAGCAGUCGGGUGCCGAGGUCCUCCUGAUUGGGGCUUCUCCCGUAGUGUGUGUCAGGCACUUACUGGCACCCGACGCAGUGGCUCAGAACGUCCUUGGAGUCGGGUUGUUUGAGAAUGCAGCCCAAAGCAGGUGGUAAGCUCCAUCUAAG